Molecule: unclassified non-coding RNA, 378 nt
Filed under: uncultured bacterium
Lineage: Bacteria
Description: contains 16S-23S intergenic spacer region
Source: RNAcentral
UCCGGUUUGGCACCGGCAGUCUCCCCAGAGUUCCCGGCAUGACCCGCUGGCAACUGAGGACAAGGGUUGCGCUCGUUGCGCCACUUAAGGCAACACCUCACGGCACGAGCUGACGACAGCCAUGCACCACCUGUGAAGGUGCCCCGAAGGGAGACCGUGUUUCCACGGCUGUCACCUACAUGUCAAGCCCAGGUAAGGUUCUUCGCGUUGCGUCGAAUUAAACCUCAUACUCCACCGCUUGUGCAGGCCCCCGUCAAUUUCUUUGAGUUUUAAUCUUGCGACCGUACUUCCCAGGCGGCAUAUUUAUCGCGUUGGCUACGCCACAAAAGGGGUCGAUUCCUUUUACAGCAAAUAUGCACCGUUUACAGCUAGGACUAC